RNAcentral lists this ribosomal RNA (500 nucleotides) under uncultured bacterium. RNAcentral describes it as "partial 16S ribosomal RNA". It matches the Rfam family "Bacterial small subunit ribosomal RNA", at positions 30 to 523 of the family's 1533-position model. The record is from RNAcentral.
AUUGAACGCUGGCGGCAUGCCUUACACAUGCAAGUCGAACGGCAGCACGGGAGCAAUCCUGGUGGCGAGUGGCGAACGGGUGAGUAAAGUAUCGGAACGUGCCCAGUCGUGGGGGAUAACGCAGCGAAAGCUGUGCUAAUACCGCAUACGAUCUAUGGAUGAAAGCGGGGGAUCGCAAGACCUCGCGCGAUUGGAGCGGCCGAUAUCAGAUUAGCUAGUUGGUGGGGUAAAGGCUCACCAAGGCGACGAUCUGUAGCUGGUCUGAGAGGACGACCAGCCACACUGGAACUGAGACACGGUCCAGACUCCUACGGGAGGCAGCAGUGGGGAAUUUUGGACAAUGGGCGCAGGCCUGAUCCAGCAAUGCCGCGUGCAGGAUGAAGGCCUUCGGGUUGUAAACUGCUUUUGUACGGAGCGAAAAGGCUCUCUCUAAUACAGGGGGCUCAUGACGGUACCGUAAGAAUAAGCACCGGCUAACUACGUGCCAGCCGCCGCGGUAA